UCCGGUUUGUCACCGGCAGUCUGGCUAGAGUGCCCAGCAUUACCUGUUGGCAACUAACCACGAGGGUUGCGCUCGUUGCGGGACUUAACCCAACAUCUCACGACACGAGCUGACGACAGCCAUGCAGCACCUGUGUCCAAGCUCCCUUGCGGGCACUCCCCUAUUUCUAGGGGAUUCUUGGCAUGUCAAGCCUUGGUAAGGUUCUUCGCGUUGCGUCGAAUUAAACCACAUCCUCCACCGCUUGUGCGGGCCCCCGUCAAUUCCUUUGAGUUUCACACUUGCGUGCGUACUCCCCAGGCGGAUCACUUAACGCGUUAGCUACGGCACUGGGGGGGUCGAUACCCCCAACACCUAGUGAUCAUCGUUUACAGCGUGGACUAC
RNAcentral lists this unclassified non-coding RNA (381 nucleotides) under uncultured cyanobacterium. RNAcentral's name for it is "contains 16S-23S intergenic spacer region". The record is from RNAcentral. Lineage: Bacteria; Bacillati; Cyanobacteriota.